AAUUCUUAAAAUCCAGCAAAACUAGAUCACUAACGAUCACAUUGACUUGAAUAUGCACUAAAAUUCCCUGGAAAAGAAACCCAAGUUAGGAAAAUAGUGAAAUGACCAAGAUAAAUAAGUUUGCUCAAUGAGUUAGAAGUUUUAUUCUUGAACUUUUAAAUGUUUUACCGAGAUAGAAGGACAAGUACCUGUGUAUGAAUCUUUUGGAAGUAGACUCUACUAUAAAGAAUACAGUGGAUAGAAGCAUGACCUGCUAAUGCGCUGAGCACCGUUUGCAUUUGUUCAACA
This 288-nucleotide unclassified non-coding RNA is filed under the name Hevea brasiliensis (rubber tree). Lineage: Eukaryota; Viridiplantae; Streptophyta; Magnoliopsida; Malpighiales; Euphorbiaceae. The record is from RNAcentral.